GGAGUUAGCCGGUGCUUCUUCUGCGAGUAACGUCACAGAUGUAAGGUAUUAACUUACACCCUUUCCUCCUCGCUGAAAGUGCUUUACAACCCGAAGGCCUUCUUCACACACGCGGCAUGGCUGCAUCAGGGUUUCCCCCAUUGUGCAAUAUUCCCCACUGCUGCCUCCCGUAGGAGUCUGGGCCGUGUCUCAGUCCCAGUGUGGCUGAUCAUCCUCUCAGACCAGCUAGGGAUCGUCGCCUAGGUGAGCCUUUACCUCACCUACUAGCUAAUCCCACCUGGGCUUAUCCAUCAGCGCAAGGCCCGAAGGUCCCCUGCUUUCCCCCGUAGGGCGUAUGCGGUAUUAGCAGUCGUUUCCAACUGUUAUCCCCCACAAAUGGGCAAAUUCCCAGGCAUUACUCACCCGUCCGCCGCUCGUCAUCUUCAAACGCAAGCUUUUGAAAUGUUACCGCUCGACUUGCAUGUGUUAGGCCUGCCGCCAGCGUUCAAUCUGAGCCAUAAUCAAACUCUGA
Molecule: ribosomal RNA, 511 nt
Filed under: uncultured bacterium
Lineage: Bacteria
Description: partial 16S ribosomal RNA
Source: RNAcentral